UACGUAGGGUGCGAGCGUUGUCCGGAAUUAUUGGGCGUAAAGAGCUCGUAGGCGGUUUGUCGCGUCUGCCGUGAAAGUCCGGGGCUCAACUCCGGAUCUGCGGUGGGUACGGGCAGGCUAGAGUUCGGCAGGGGAGACUGGAAUUCCUGGUGUAGCGGUGAAGUGCGCAGAUAUCAGGAGGAACACCGGUGGCGAAGGCGGGUCUCUGGGCCGAUACUGACACUGAGGAGCGAAAGCGUGGGGAGCGAACAGG
Molecule: ribosomal RNA, 253 nt
Filed under: uncultured bacterium
Lineage: Bacteria
Description: partial 16S ribosomal RNA
Rfam family: Bacterial small subunit ribosomal RNA
Source: RNAcentral